GAUGAACGCUAGCUACAGGCUUAACACAUGCAAGUCGAGGGGAAACGACAUCGAAAGCUUGCUAAGAUGGACGUCGACCGGCGAAUGGGUGAGUAACGCGUAUCCAACCUUCCGUUAAGUAGGGAAUAGCCCGGCGAAAGUCGAAUUAAUGCCUGAUGUUUUCCACGGACGGCAUCUGAUGUGGAACAAAGAUUGAUCGCUAUGGGAUGGGGAUGCGUCUGAUUAGCUAGACGGCGGGGCAACGGCCCACCGUGGCGACGAUGUCUAGGGGUUCUGAGAGGAAGACCCCCCACACUGGGACUGAGACACGGCCCAGACUCCUACGGGAGGCAGCAGUGAGGAAUAUUGGUCAAUAGGCGCAAGCCUGAACCAGCCAAGUAGCGUGAGGGAAGACUGCCCUACGGGUUGUAAACCUCUUUUGUUUGGGAAUAAAGUGCGGGACGUGUCCCGCAUUGCAUGUACCAUUUGAAUAAGGACCGGCUAAUUCCGUG
RNAcentral lists this ribosomal RNA (491 nucleotides) under uncultured bacterium. Its description in RNAcentral is "bacterial SSU rRNA". It matches the Rfam family "Bacterial small subunit ribosomal RNA", at positions 28 to 507 of the family's 1533-position model. The record is from RNAcentral.